Cinara cedri is the source of this 237-nucleotide non-coding RNA. Lineage: Eukaryota; Metazoa; Arthropoda; Insecta; Hemiptera; Aphididae. The record is from the annotation of a GenBank genome assembly.
CGGUUUACACCUUAAUUCGUGUCGGGGAACGAGCAAAAUUGAAAAAAAGGGCACAUAAACGCCGCUGCCGUUUAAAGAUCAAUUUCCUGCAACGAGCAAUAUAAGAAACGCGAUUAUAAUUAAAUCAAUGCGUGCUCGUAGCUGCAGUGUAAACAGUUUAUAAGGUAGGUAGAUACGUAAAAAGGAUAUAAUAAAUCAAAUUACAAGAUUGCCAUUAUGUUAUAAACUGACAGAAAA